GACGAACGCUGGCGGCGUGCUUAACACAUGCAAGUCGAACGGAAAGGCCCUGCUUUUGUGGGGUGCUCGAGUGGCGAACGGGUGAGUAACACGUGAGUAACCUGCCCUUGACUUUGGGAUAACUUCAGGAAACUGGGGCUAAUACCGGAUAGGAGCUCCUGCUGCAUGGUGGGGGUUGGAAAGUUUCGGCGGUUGGGGAUGGACUCGCGGCUUAUCAGCUUGUUGGUGGGGUAGUGGCUUACCAAGGCUUUGACGGGUAGCCGGCCUGAGAGGGUGACCGGCGACAUGGGGCCUGAGAUACGGCGCAGAGUGCUACGGGAGGCAGCAGUGGGGAAUAUUGCACAAUGGGCGGAAGCCUGAUGCAGCAACGCCGCGUGCGGGAUGACGGCCUUCGGGUUGUAAACCGCUUUCGCCUGUGACGAAGCGUGAGUGACGGUAAUGGGUAAAGAAGCACCGGCUAACUACGUG
This 468-nucleotide ribosomal RNA is filed under the name uncultured bacterium. Its description in RNAcentral is "partial 16S ribosomal RNA". It matches the Rfam family "Bacterial small subunit ribosomal RNA", at positions 28 to 507 of the family's 1533-position model. The record is from RNAcentral.